This 860-nucleotide ribosomal RNA is filed under the name uncultured bacterium. Its description in RNAcentral is "bacterial SSU rRNA". It matches the Rfam family "Bacterial small subunit ribosomal RNA", at positions 56 to 923 of the family's 1533-position model. The record is from RNAcentral.
UGCAGUCGAGGGGUAUAAGUCUUCGGAUUUAGAGACCGGCGCACGGGUGCGUAACGCGUAUGCAAUCUACCUUUCACAGAGGGAUAGCCCAGAGAAAUUUGGAUUAAUACCUCAUAGUAUUAUAGAAUGGCAUCAUUUUAUAAUUAAAGUCACAACGGUGAAAGAUGAGCAUGCGUCCCAUUAGCUUGUUGGUAAGGUAACGGCUUACCAAGGCUACGAUGGGUAGGGGUCCUGAGAGGGAGAUCCCCCACACUGGUACUGAGACACGGACCAGGCUCCUACGGGAGGCAGCAGUGAGGAAUAUUGGUCAAUGGACGCAAGUCUGAACCAGCCAUGCCGCGUGCAGGAUGACGGUCCUAUGGAUUGUAAACUGCUUUUGCACAGGAAGAAACAACAUUACGUGUAAUGUCUUGACGGUACUGUGAGAAUAAGGAUCGGCUAACUCCGUGCCAGCAGCCGCGGUAAUACGGAGGAUCCAAGCGUUAUCCGGAAUCAUUGGGUUUAAAGGGUCCGUAGGCGGUUUAGUAAGUCAGUGGUGAAAGCCCAUCGCUCAACGGUGGAACGGCCAUUGAUACUGCUAGACUUGAAUUAUUAGGAAGUAACUAGAAUAUGUAGUGUAGCGGUGAAAUGCUUAGAGAUUACAUGGAAUACCAAUUGCGAAGGCAGGUUACUACUAAUGGAUUGACGCUGAUGGACGAAAGCGUGGGUAGCGAACAGGAUUAGAUACCCUGGUAGUCCACGCCGUAAACGAUGGAUACUAGCUGUUGGAAGCAAUUUCAGUGGUUAAGCGAAAGUGAUAAGUAUCCCACCUGGGGAGUACGUUCGCAAGAAUGAAACUCAAAGGAAUUGACGGGGGCCCG